GACGAACGCUGGCGGCGUGCCUAAUACAUGCAAGUUGAGCGCUGAAGGUUGGUACUUGUACCGACUGGAUGAGCAGCGAACGGGUGAGUAACGCGUGGGUAACCUGCCUUUGAGCGGGGGACAACAUUUGGAAACGAAUGCUAAUACCGCAUAAAAACUUUAAACACAAGGUUUAAGUUUGAAAGAUGCAAUUGCAUCACUCAAAGAUGAUCCCGCGUUGUAUUAGCUAGUUGGUGAGGUAAAGGCCCACCAAGGCGAUGAUACAUAGCCGACCUGAGAGGGUGGUCGGCCACAUUGGGACUGGGACACCGCCCAAACUCCUACGGGAGGCAGCAGUAGGGAAUCUUCGGCAAUGGACGAAAGUCUGACCGGGCAACGCCGCGUGAGUGGAGGAGGUUUUCGGAUCGUAAAACUCUGUUGGUAGAGAAGAACGUUAGUGAGAGUGGAAAGCUCAUCAAGUGACGGUAACUACCCAGAAAGGGACGGCUAACUACGUG
RNAcentral lists this ribosomal RNA (497 nucleotides) under uncultured bacterium. Its description in RNAcentral is "partial 16S ribosomal RNA". It matches the Rfam family "Bacterial small subunit ribosomal RNA", at positions 28 to 507 of the family's 1533-position model. The record is from RNAcentral.